AUGGAAUUGCGAAAAAAGCUGAAAGAACACUACAAGAUCAAAAUCCACUACAAGAGAGUCUAUAUGGGUAAGAUGCUAGCCUUGAAGCAACUAUACGGUGAUUGGGAUAGUAGUUUUAACAACUUGUAUAGGUUUAAAGCACAAGUUGAAAGUUGCUGCCCUAAUAGCAUAGUGCAGAUCGACCAUCAUACCAUAAAUGAUAAAAUAAGGUUUAGAAGAAUUUUUGUUGCUCUCAAACCUUGCAUAGAUGGAUUUCUUAGUGGCUGCAGGCCAUAUUUGGCUGUGGACAGCACCUUUAUGACAGGCAGAUUCAAGGGGCAAUUGGCUAGUGCUACUGCAGUGGAUGGCCAUAAUUGGAUGUAUCCAGUUUGUUUUGGAAUUUUUGACUCUGAAACAAAUGAAAAUUGGAUCUGGUUCAUGCAAUUGCUAAGACAGGCCAUAGGAUCACCAACAGGUUUAGCCAUAUGCACUGGUGCUGGCCAAGCAGUGAUGACAGGGGUAAAAGAAGUGUUCCCAGAGGCAGAACAUAGAGAAUGUAUGUUCCACUUGGUGAGCAACUUCAAGAAUAAGUUUACUGGAAAAGUAUUUGAUGACCACCUAUGGGCAGCUGCUUACUCAUGGAACCCAUAUAUAUUUGACAAGAAUUGGGCUACAAUGGAGGCAGUAAAGCCAGCCGCAACAGCAUAUAUUAGGAAGUGGCACAAUAGGUUGUGGUCUAGGAGUCAGUUCUCGACCAUAUGCAAGGUGGACUAUGUAACCAACAACUUGGCAGAGUGCUUUAACAAUUGGAUCAAGCACCACAAGUCAUUGAACUUGGAUGAUUUCUUGGACAAGGCAAGGCAGUUGAUUAUGAUCUUGUGGAAUGAUAGGAGAAAAGUAGCAAAGAAGUUAGAUGGAUUGAUUAUACCCCACAUAAUGAAGAAGUUAAACGCAUUGACUAGAGAAUUCAACUUGGAGGUGGUAGAAUGCUCAGAAGAAGUGGCUGAAGUGGUUGCAUUAGGAGGCAGCGGUUUUAGGUUUGUCGUUAACUUGCAAGAUCGAACAUGUUCAUGUCGACAAUGGCAAGUUUGUGGUCUUCCUUGCAAACAUGCUCUUGCAUUCAUCACAUCACUUAGAGAUGCUCACAUAAAGAAUUACGUUGAUUUGUAUUAUUCCACUGAAAAAUUCAGAGCAGCCUAUUCCAACAUGAUCCCUGCUAUGCCUGACAAGAGCCAAUGGCCUGAAUCUGACCAUGGAUUUUUCAAGCAUCCACCACUACUUAAAGCUACAGCUGGCAGGCCUAAAACUGAGAGAUAUAAAGGUUGUAGUGACAAGAAAAGAAAAAAGGGUAAGCACUUAUGUCCAAUUUGUAAGGAAUAUGGGCAUCAUUGGCACAACUGUAAGAAGGGUAACCCUGAUGACAUUGUUGCAAUGUUGGCUAUUAGAGAACCACCAAAGAAGAGGGCAAAGACUAGCAAAACAGCCCAGUCCAUUGUGCCUUACGAGGAUGGAGCACCAACAAGGAUGCUUUUUCCACCACCAAGCCAAAGCUUGGAAAUUACAACUAAGAAAAAGAGAAAACGUGACAACACUGAAUCUGGAGGUUCAAAGAGAUCAAAAACUAGCUCCAUUGAGAAGGCCAAGACGAAAAAGAAGGUUGCUAAGAAGAUUUUGGUGCCACUUGACAGCCCAGCAAUGGGCACAAGGAGCAGAAAGUUUAAUCCUCCUAGCCCUGCUAUGAGCACAAGAAGCAAAAGAAUGCUCAGCUUGUAA
Molecule: ribosomal RNA, 1752 nt
Filed under: Triticum aestivum (bread wheat)
Lineage: Eukaryota; Viridiplantae; Streptophyta; Magnoliopsida; Poales; Poaceae
Description: partial small subunit ribosomal RNA
Source: RNAcentral